GGCACCAUCAUCUUGCUCCCAUUGCUUCUUCUCUCCUCUGAUAGUGUUUAAUCCCUUUUGAACAGCAGCCCAUGGAAGGGUACGGGUAGACAGAUUGUCUGCUAAAACAGAACAUUGUACCUUGACAAACACUGUGGUUUCCCAUUCCUGUCAAUGGGUUCAUCAAGUGACUCAGAGUGACACAUUAAUGAACAGUCAGCGCCCCUCCCUGCAGUGUCUGGCCAUUCAGAGAACUCCCUCAUCACCCAUACAUCUUUGUGGUUUGAGAGGUCUGACAAGAUUGCUAUCAAAAGUGGAAAAUUUGGGAAAGCCCAACUCUGCUUUGACAUCAGCAUUGGCUUAAAAUGCCAAAGCACAGAGAAAGCAAAACCACAAAGACACAGGAACUGCAACGCAACUGUUGUCAAGUGUUAAUACAUGCAAUGUUAAUACAUGCAGACAUUCAGUCUGCAUGUGAUAAGCACCUGCCAGGAUCUGCUCCAGAACUCACCAGAGCUGUCCUUAAUGAGACCUGAUUUGGUCUUGAGUGUGCCUGUCCCCUGUGGAUGCUGAAGAGCCCC
Empidonax traillii (willow flycatcher) is the source of this 560-nucleotide long non-coding RNA. RefSeq lists it as uncharacterized. The transcript is spliced from 3 exons. Lineage: Eukaryota; Metazoa; Chordata; Aves; Passeriformes; Tyrannidae. The record is from RefSeq and is a predicted model, not a curated record.